GGCCCUGCUCCCUUAGGUUUGUGUGGACAUCCCGGGCUCGUCCAAGCUGCUCCUGGAGCUGCCCCUGGUCAUCGGCACCGUCCCCCUGCACCUUUUUGGCAGCCGCUCCUCCAGUGUGGGCAGCCACUCCGACUUCCUGCUGGACUGGGGGCUGGGCGCCCUGACUCAGCAGCCCGAAGCUCCUCCUGAGUAUUCCGACGUGGUGGCGGAGGAGGACGCAGCAGGCCCUGCACAGGGCCACUUCACACUGCUGCAGGAGGCCAUGAGCUUUGAAGGCCCCUACUUUGCUUACCUCCAGGAGUGCCGCUACCUCCCACCGCCCCUGUACUCUGAGGUCGCAGCUGUUUCCCCAAAUGCUGGGCCCUGUGGCCUCCCCUUUGGCUGUGGUGCAGCUUCACAAGCUUCCACUAAAACAGGUACAUCCCGACACGUGUGGUGGCGCACACCUGUAAUCGCAGCACUCAGGGAGGCUGAGGCAGGAGGAUCGCUGCGAGUUCAAGACCAGCGUGGGCUCACAGUGAGUUCCAGGUCAGUCUCAACUACAUAGUGAGACCCUGUCUCAAAAAAACAAAGAAUAAGUACAUCCCACGCAGCACUCGCCCCGGCUGCCAUAUGGGAUAUACUUGCAUUACCCAGAAAAAUUUAAACUGGGUGCCUUGGUGCACAUCUCAGCGCUCUGGGAGGCUGAGGCAGGAGGGUCCCAAGGUCAAGCCCAUCCUAGUCAAUUUAGCGAGACCCUGUCUCAAAAUAAAAACGACUUACAAAAGGGAGGGGAGGUAGCUCAGUGGAAAUGCCCUAGGUGCAAUCCCAGUACUUAGAAACAAAACCAAACACACAGGGCCUUGGUGGACUGAGGUGAAGGAGCGCGAUUCCGUCCGGGCUGUGGGGGGUGGGGGGGUGGUGCCCCCCGCCCUGCCUGUGCGCACCCAGAGACUUUCCCUGACCCCAGACCUCCCGCUGGCCCGGCCCUGGAAGCCGGGCCGGAGUGGCUGCCUCAAGGGCAGCAGGGGCCUUGACCUUCACAGCUCAGGCCGGGUUUAGGCCGGUUGGGCCAGACAGGCGUUGGCUGAAGUUUCAGGGAGCUGGGGCCGCAGCCCGGCCCAAACGCUAUGAUAGGGGAGAGAACCCAG
This 1130-nucleotide long non-coding RNA is filed under the name Fukomys damarensis (Damara mole-rat). RNAcentral's name for it is "lncRNA (ENSFDAG00000029918.1)". The record is from RNAcentral. Lineage: Eukaryota; Metazoa; Chordata; Mammalia; Rodentia; Bathyergidae.